RNAcentral lists this ribosomal RNA (2443 nucleotides) under Escherichia coli. RNAcentral's name for it is "bacterial LSU rRNA". It matches the Rfam family "Bacterial large subunit ribosomal RNA", at positions 398 to 2826 of the family's 2925-position model. Lineage: Bacteria; Pseudomonadati; Pseudomonadota; Gammaproteobacteria; Enterobacterales; Enterobacteriaceae. The record is from RNAcentral.
UGUGAGCUCGAUGAGUAGGGCGGGACACGUGGUAUCCUGUCUGAAUAUGGGGGGACCAUCCUCCAAGGCUAAAUACUCCUGACUGACCGAUAGUGAACCAGUACCGUGAGGGAAAGGCGAAAAGAACCCCGGCGAGGGGAGUGAAAAAGAACCUGAAACCGUGUACGUACAAGCAGUGGGAGCACGCUUAGGCGUGUGACUGCGUACCUUUUGUAUAAUGGGUCAGCGACUUAUAUUCUGUAGCAAGGUUAACCGAAUAGGGGAGCCGAAGGGAAACCGAGUCUUAACUGGGCGUUAAGUUGCAGGGUAUAGACCCGAAACCCGGUGAUCUAGCCAUGGGCAGGUUGAAGGUUGGGUAACACUAACUGGAGGACCGAACCGACUAAUGUUGAAAAAUUAGCGGAUGACUUGUGGCUGGGGGUGAAAGGCCAAUCAAACCGGGAGAUAGCUGGUUCUCCCCGAAAGCUAUUUAGGUAGCGCCUCGUGAAUUCAUCUCCGGGGGUAGAGCACUGUUUCGGCAAGGGGGUCAUCCCGACUUACCAACCCGAUGCAAACUGCGAAUACCGGAGAAUGUUAUCACGGGAGACACACGGCGGGUGCUAACGUCCGUCGUGAAGAGGGAAACAACCCAGACCGCCAGCUAAGGUCCCAAAGUCAUGGUUAAGUGGGAAACGAUGUGGGAAGGCCCAGACAGCCAGGAUGUUGGCUUAGAAGCAGCCAUCAUUUAAAGAAAGCGUAAUAGCUCACUGGUCGAGUCGGCCUGCGCGGAAGAUGUAACGGGGCUAAACCAUGCACCGAAGCUGCGGCAGCGACGCUGAUGCGUUGUUGGGUAGGGGAGCGUUCUGUAAGCCUGCGAAGGUGUGCUGUGAGGCAUGCUGGAGGUAUCAGAAGUGCGAAUGCUGACAUAAGUAACGAUAAAGCGGGUGAAAAGCCCGCUCGCCGGAAGACCAAGGGUUCCUGUCCAACGUUAAUCGGGGCAGGGUGAGUCGACCCCUAAGGCGAGGCCGAAAGGCGUAGUCGAUGGGAAACAGGUUAAUAUUCCUGUACUUGGUGUUACUGCGAAGGGGGGACGGAGAAGGCUAUGUUGGCCGGGCGACGGUUGUCCCGGUUUAAGCGUGUAGGCUGGUUUUCCAGGCAAAUCCGGAAAAUCAAGGCUGAGGCGUGAUGACGAGGCACUACGGUGCUGAAGCAACAAAUGCCCUGCUUCCAGGAAAAGCCUCUAAGCAUCAGGUAACAUCAAAUCGUACCCCAAACCGACACAGGUGGUCAGGUAGAGAAUACCAAGGCGCUUGAGAGAACUCGGGUGAAGGAACUAGGCAAAAUGGUGCCGUAACUUCGGGAGAAGGCACGCUGAUAUGUAGGUGAAGCGACUUGCUCGUGGAGCUGAAAUCAGUCGAAGAUACCAGCUGGCUGCAACUGUUUAUUAAAAACACAGCACUGUGCAAACACGAAAGUGGACGUAUACGGUGUGACGCCUGCCCGGUGCCGGAAGGUUAAUUGAUGGGGUCAGCGCAAGCGAAGCUCUUGAUCGAAGCCCCGGUAAACGGCGGCCGUAACUAUAACGGUCCUAAGGUAGCGAAAUUCCUUGUCGGGUAAGUUCCGACCUGCACGAAUGGCGUAAUGAUGGCCAGGCUGUCUCCACCCGAGACUCAGUGAAAUUGAACUCGCUGUGAAGAUGCAGUGUACCCGCGGCAAGACGGAAAGACCCCGUGAACCUUUACUAUAGCUUGACACUGAACAUUGAGCCUUGAUGUGUAGGAUAGGUGGGAGGCUUUGAAGUGUGGACGCCAGUCUGCAUGGAGCCGACCUUGAAAUACCACCCUUUAAUGUUUGAUGUUCUAACGUGGACCCGUGAUCCGGGUUGCGGACAGUGUCUGGUGGGUAGUUUGACUGGGGCGGUCUCCUCCUAAAGAGUAACGGAGGAGCACGAAGGUUGGCUAAUCCUGGUCGGACAUCAGGAGGUUAGUGCAAUGGCAUAAGCCAGCUUGACUGCGAGCGUGACGGCGCGAGCAGGUGCGAAAGCAGGUCAUAGUGAUCCGGUGGUUCUGAAUGGAAGGGCCAUCGCUCAACGGAUAAAAGGUACUCCGGGGAUAACAGGCUGAUACCGCCCAAGAGUUCAUAUCGACGGCGGUGUUUGGCACCUCGAUGUCGGCUCAUCACAUCCUGGGGCUGAAGUAGGUCCCAAGGGUAUGGCUGUUCGCCAUUUAAAGUGGUACGCGAGCUGGGUUUAGAACGUCGUGAGACAGUUCGGUCCCUAUCUGCCGUGGGCGCUGGAGAACUGAGGGGGGCUGCUCCUAGUACGAGAGGACCGGAGUGGACGCAUCACUGGUGUUCGGGUUGUCAUGCCAAUGGCACUGCCCGGUAGCUAAAUGCGGAAGAGAUAAGUGCUGAAAGCAUCUAAGCACGAAACUUGCCCCGAGAUGAGUUCUCCCUGACUCCUUGA